RNAcentral lists this long non-coding RNA (508 nucleotides) under Elaeis guineensis (African oil palm). RNAcentral describes it as "long non-coding RNA (EGUI_LNC041451)". Lineage: Eukaryota; Viridiplantae; Streptophyta; Magnoliopsida; Arecales; Arecaceae. The record is from RNAcentral.
CGCUGUCAUUUAAAAAUUUAGAUAUCUUGCUGCCAACAAAUAUAAUUAGAUAAUCAAUUUGGUACAACCAAAAACACUGAUACCUAUUGAUACAUUCAGAUUACUAUUAAACUUGGUAUACAAAUUAAUUAAUAAUAUAUAAGAUACAAUAAUGUAUUAUAAAACUUGAUGUACUGUUGGGAAUCAUAGGGUGCUGGUGUAUGCAGAUUUUAAAUUUUUUUAAAAAAUAAUACAGUGGAAUAAUAGAUCAAAACUUCUUUUAAUCUAGAACAUGCAUAUAUAUGAUCAAAGUGCCUAAAGAUCUAGUUCAUAUGCUAAAAAUAAUAUAUGCUGAUUUUAAUCUGAAAAUAAAAAUAUAUAAUCGGAUCACAUAUCUAUUUCGUUUUUCUUUUUCUUGAAUCUGAAUCUGAAAGAUGAACAGAUUUUUUUUAGCCGCGCAAGUGUCUGGCCUCUAUGGGUAUCUACGUAGGAACAAUUUGGAUUGCUCCUCUUCUUUUCUUCACAUGCA